GUGUCAGCAGCCGCGGUAAUACGUAGGGUGCGAGCGUUAAUCGGAAUUACUGGGCGUAAAGCGUGCGCAGGUGGUUCGUCAAGUCUGAUGUGAAAGCCCCGGGCUCAACCUGGGAAUGGCAUUGGAAACUAGCGGGCUUGAGUGUGGCAGAGGGGGGUGGAAUUCCACGUGUAGCAGUGAAAUGCGUAGAGAUGUGGAGGAACACCGAUGGCGAAGGCAGCCCCCUGGGCUAACACUGACGCUCAUGCACGAAAGCGUGGGGAGCAAACAGGAUUAGAUACCCUAGUAGUCC
RNAcentral lists this ribosomal RNA (292 nucleotides) under uncultured bacterium. Its description in RNAcentral is "partial 16S ribosomal RNA". It matches the Rfam family "Bacterial small subunit ribosomal RNA", at positions 505 to 796 of the family's 1533-position model. The record is from RNAcentral.